UUCAUUUAUUCACCCAGUCAAUGUUUACGGAAGACCUGGCAGGUCCAAGGUGUUGAAGCCACAAAGAUGAAUGAGGUCUGAACAAAGAUGAAGAAAAUGAGGCCAGAAGCAGUUAAGAAACUGGCCCAACGGCAGACAGCUCCUGAGAGGAAGAGUCAGACUGAAGCACAGGCACUGACCUCCAGAGACCAGUAGGCACGCACUAGCACGCAGAAUCCACAGGAAAAGGAUCAGAGUUUGAGUUCAGCCACUAGCUUGUACUGUGACUUCAGGAGUCCCGCAUUCCCUCACAGGGCUGCUAUCAUGGGGAAAAACCAGCUAACUUUUGCAAAGUGGCCAACAGGGUGUCUAGUCCACAGUAAGUGCUUGAGAAAGAGCCUGAAUUUUCUCAUGGAAUAAAAUAUUUCUUGAGCAUCUAUACUGCCCUUUGUCCCGUGCUGGGAACAUGAAGAUAAAACAGACACAGUAUCUGCACCACCCCAGAAACUGAUUGGAACAUGAAAAUGAAUAAAUGAAUGAAGGCUCA
Molecule: long non-coding RNA, 526 nt
Organism: Eptesicus fuscus (big brown bat)
Lineage: Eukaryota; Metazoa; Chordata; Mammalia; Chiroptera; Vespertilionidae
Exons: 2
Source: RefSeq, a predicted model, not a curated record